UUUAAGUUUUACUCUGACAAAAUGUGUUGAAUAAAGCCACUUGUGCUUUUUUAAAGCUUUUACUUGGCUUUAAAAAGGUGGCUAACAAGUGGCUAAAUAGGACUACAGAGGUUGUUUGGGACAUUAAGCAUCAUCACACUGAACAGUUAAACUCAUCUACGCACUAGUCUGCCUUUACAGCCUCAUAUUUCAUUAAUAAUCACUCUCUUGCUAGCUAUUCAAGCUUAUAUUGGGGUGUAGUUUAUUUAUAGCCUAUAUUUAGCCUUUUACUUCUGGCGAUUGUAUUUACGCUUCAAAAUUCAUAAAAGUCAGUGUGCGUUU
Molecule: long non-coding RNA, 321 nt
Organism: Sinocyclocheilus anshuiensis
Lineage: Eukaryota; Metazoa; Chordata; Actinopteri; Cypriniformes; Cyprinidae
Exons: 3
Source: RefSeq, a predicted model, not a curated record